CAUACUCAUUCUCUCUCUUCAUUUAGGGCUUUUAUUUGACUAAAAGAAAAGAAGGGGAUGAGAGGGAAAGUAGCUUUAGCCCACAGUCAAAAUGAAAAAGAGAGAGAGAGAGAGAGCGACGCGCUGUUGAUGGCAUUCGGCGAUGAGUUUCAAACGGUUACCCAGUGAGUGGUUCUGGCGGGUGUGCUUCCGUUAGAUUAGAGGCCGAUUUCAAGCUGCCAGAGGCGUCAGGGUUCGAGAAGUGUUUUUUGGCAUUGGCAUCGUCUUCUUCCGUGUUUCGAGCAAAGUCAACAUGGUGAUUUGGAGUCUCUUGGAUAUGUGCUUCUAUACUUUUUGAGAGAAAUUUAUACCAUUGCCCUCCCUACUUUUAUUACAAUCAAUUAGCUAUGCAUAAUAGUGCAAGGUGUAAUGAUAGUAAUUCCAUAUUUAGUAGAAUAUUUUAAGGAGGUCACCCAACAUAAAAUUGUUUCAAGCUAAUCACGCUUAACUUUAGAGUAGUCAUCGAAAAGGAAGGUGCACCUUGUUGGUAUAGACAUUAACUUUUAAUUCUUUUAAGACUUUCUUAACAUUGCUUGAUUUCAUUCUAGUUUUCUGCUUA
Cucumis sativus (cucumber) is the source of this 598-nucleotide long non-coding RNA. RefSeq lists it as uncharacterized. The transcript is spliced from 2 exons. The record is from RefSeq and is a predicted model, not a curated record. NCBI's taxonomy places the organism in Eukaryota, Viridiplantae, Streptophyta, Magnoliopsida, Cucurbitales, Cucurbitaceae.